AUAAUCUUUACCAUCAUCCGGUAGAUUUGGCUGCUCGGCCUUUUGGUCGUCGGCUUAAAUGGAGUAAGCUAUGGGCUAGGCAAGGCGCCUAGACAUUGUGUGAUAGAGGCACCUCGUGUCUACUCACAAUGCGUCUGGGCGAUCAACCUGCUUGGUUCCGGCUUGACAGGCUUCGGCCACCUUCUGAA
This 188-nucleotide unclassified non-coding RNA is filed under the name uncultured Rozellomycota. Its description in RNAcentral is "uncultured Cryptomycota sequence contains ITS2". Lineage: Eukaryota; Fungi; Rozellomycota. The record is from RNAcentral.